RNAcentral lists this long non-coding RNA (849 nucleotides) under Nicotiana benthamiana. Its description in RNAcentral is "long non-coding RNA (NBEN_LNC003805)". The record is from RNAcentral. Lineage: Eukaryota; Viridiplantae; Streptophyta; Magnoliopsida; Solanales; Solanaceae.
AGGAAUGCUGAAAAGGAAAAGUUCCCGGGUGAAGGACUGUGGUGCGUACCAUAUAAUGAUAAAUUGAUAAAUAAUGGGGGGAGGAAGAAAGCAGAGAUGGAAUCAUAAACGUUAACCAGCAUACCGGGUGAAGGACUAUGGUGCGUACCAGAUAAUGAUAAAUUGAUAAAUAAUGGGGGGAGGAAGAAAGCAGAGAUGGAAUCAUAAACGUUAACCAGCAUACAUUACGACUAUUCAGAGAUAUACAUUGUCAAAACGAAUAAAUAAACCUUAAGAAAACAUUUGAUACAAUGCCGCACACAGAAGCCUGUUAAAUGGAAAAGCGUAGAUUGGCAAUGGCAGGGUCAUUACCCAUAAUACAUCGAGUUUCGAACCAUGCGCUAUUGACCUUGGGGAUUUCUUUGUUAUCAGAAGUUGUUAGCAAUUGUACAAAAGUACAAGAAUACAUCAAAUAGUUUAAUGCGGUGAAGCAUGCUUUGACAACAGUACCAUCUUAGUGAAAACAAAAGAUACUUGUUACUCCUUGCAUUCUAGUUUAUAUGACUAUUUUCUUAUUAGUCCAUUCCAUGCCGUAUUCGGAGGAGUGGUGACUAGAGAGUACAAGCCAGACGAAACGACGGUGGCUCCAUACGGGAAAAAAAAAUUGACAUAUUCCUAUAUUCUGCAUUCCAGUUUAUAUGACAAUAUUUUCUUAUUAAUCCAUUCCAAAAAAUUGACAUAUUUAACUUUGACCUUUUCAGCUUGCCCUUAAUGAGAAGAUUGUAUAAUCGCACAAAUGUUAUUAAAUCUUUAAGACAACAGAUUUUAAAAGUCUUCCUUUCUUUGUUAAACUACGUGCCAAGUUAAAUU